Long non-coding RNA from Dendroctonus ponderosae (mountain pine beetle), 513 nucleotides. RefSeq lists it as uncharacterized. Lineage: Eukaryota; Metazoa; Arthropoda; Insecta; Coleoptera; Curculionidae. The transcript has 2 exons. The record is from RefSeq and is a predicted model, not a curated record.
UUUAUUGUAUAUUAAAUAGGUUCUUGCUGAAUAUGAACCGCUUUUCGCAUGCUUCUUCCUAAAAAUAGGCGGAAAUACACAUUUUCCGCGUCACUUCUCCCGAGAAAAUUGGUACAUGCAUUAUGCUGUAGUGGCAACGUAACCCAUUUAGUUCCUAGAUAAGAUGCGUGGCAUGUGUAUUCCAAAAAUCACUAUAAAAGAUGCGAACUUACAACAAAAACAAGAUUCCAUUAUCUAGAACAAUUAUGACCAGGCUGCUGAUUUGCCAUGAUAAUCAGCGAAGAAAACAAGAUGUAUUAUUAAUAAUAACAACCUUUCUUCAAAGUGUCGAAAUCCUUGGCCUCACUUAUGCGAAAAAGGUGAAUUGAACAUGAUAAAGUUGGGAAGGUUUAAUUAAACUUAAGCUAAAUUACCGGAAUAACCAGGUUUGGCAUCGCACACAACCAACACAAACGCGAAGAAAAUUUCAAAAAUCAUAUUUCACUUGGAUUCGCACAACAAAAACUUUGGAAA